Molecule: transfer RNA, 64 nt
Filed under: Labidocera rotunda
Lineage: Eukaryota; Metazoa; Arthropoda; Copepoda; Calanoida; Pontellidae
Description: tRNA-Ile
Source: RNAcentral
AGUAAAAUGCCUGAAAAAGGGCCAUUUUGAUAGAAUGAAACAUGUAAUAAUAUUACUUUUACUA